RNAcentral lists this ribosomal RNA (425 nucleotides) under uncultured bacterium. RNAcentral's name for it is "partial 16S ribosomal RNA". It matches the Rfam family "Bacterial small subunit ribosomal RNA", at positions 354 to 796 of the family's 1533-position model. The record is from RNAcentral.
GUGGGGAAUAUUGGACAAUGGGCGCAAGCCUGAUCCAGCCAUGCCGCGUGAGUGAUGAAGGCCCUAGGGUUGUAAAGCUCUUUCGCCAGGGACGAUAAUGACGGUACCUGGAUAAGAAGCCCCGGCUAACUUCGUGCCAGCAGCCGCGGUAAUACGAAGGGGGCUAGCGUUGUUCGGAAUCACUGGGCGUAAAGCGCACGUAGGCGGAUCUUUAAGUCAGGGGUGAAAUCCCGAGGCUCAACCUCGGAACUGCCUUUGAUACUGGGGAUCUCGAGUCCGGGAGAGGUGAGUGGAACUGCGAGUGUAGAGGUGAAAUUCGUAGAUAUUCGCAAGAACACCAGUGGCGAAGGCGGCUCACUGGCCCGGUACUGACGCUGAGGUGCGAAAGCGUGGGGAGCAAACAGGAUUAGAUACCCGAGUAGUCC